This is a long non-coding RNA of Telopea speciosissima, 375 nucleotides long. RefSeq lists it as uncharacterized. The transcript is spliced from 2 exons. Lineage: Eukaryota; Viridiplantae; Streptophyta; Magnoliopsida; Proteales; Proteaceae. The record is from RefSeq and is a predicted model, not a curated record.
CAAUUACAACUCAAAUCAACUAAGCUGCCUUCCAACUAAAUGGGUCCACCAGCUGAAUCCGGUACAACAGUACUCAUAAUUAACUCUACUUAAACAAUACUUUGUUUUUAUUAGUUCCUCAAAUCUGCACAGUAUCACUCCUCACAGGCGCAUCUAAUGGCCUUCAUUGUACAUGCCCAUAACAACACCUCAAUGACAUUUCUUCAUCAAUUAUCAGUAAGUGAUUCAUAACCUAUUUUUUGCAAAAAUCUUUUAACUCUUAGCGAGGUACUCAAAGAACAGGAAGCAAUAAAUAAUCUACUUUAGCUGAUGACAAGUCAGCUAUCUAUACAUCAAAUACUUUCGGUGAAGUAAAGUUCUAUUAUCCCUAAGGCA